RNAcentral lists this long non-coding RNA (3321 nucleotides) under Nicotiana benthamiana. RNAcentral's name for it is "long non-coding RNA (NBEN_LNC021188)". The record is from RNAcentral. Lineage: Eukaryota; Viridiplantae; Streptophyta; Magnoliopsida; Solanales; Solanaceae.
UACUUUCUAAAUCCCUUCUUCUUUCUAAAUCCAUUCAAAUUCUUUACAAUACCUCCGCGAUCAACAUAGACCUUGUCCUCAAGGUCAAGAACGAGCAAUAAAAUCUGGGAAUUGACCCUUGAUAAAGCCCCAAUCCUCCCGCGUUGCUUCGUCAAGUCCAAGAUUUGCCCACUGAAUCAACAACUUCACCUGAGCCGCGUUGUUGACUUUCACAUCUUACGGUCCAAUAUAGCCACUGGUUGGACUAGCACACGACCAGUGCCAUCACAAAUAGGGGGUUGCUGCAUAGGCGUUAUAGCAUGUCCUACUCUUUUCUUCAGCUGAGAGACAUGAAAUACAUGGUGUAUCUGUGAACUCGAAGGUAUCUCCAAACGGUACGCCACUGAGCCAAUCUUUUGUAAGAAUUUGUGAGGCCCAUAGUAUUUAGCACUUAGGUUCAAAUUCUUCCUUAUUGCUACUGAUGAUUGUCUGUAAGGCUGUAGCUUUAAGUAGACUAAAUCUCCCACUUCUAAAGUUCUCUCUAAUGUGUUUUUACCUGCAUAGAACUUCAUUCUCGCUUGAGCCUGAGUUAAAUUUUCCUUAAGUACUCCCAACAUCUGUUGCCUCUAAGCCAAAUACAUACCCACAGAUUGUGUGGUAUGGGGUAGGGAUCCCAUAGGAAUCUGUGGAGGUGGAAACCCAUAUAAUGAAUGAAAAGACGUAGACUUGAAUGAGCUGUGGUAGCUGGUAUUAUACCACCACUCUGCCAAGGGCAACCAUUUGCACCACUUCUUAGGACAAGAAAAAAUCAUAGACUUUAGAUAGCUCUCCAAGCAUCUGUUGAGUCGUUCAGUCUGUCCAUCUGACUGAGGAUGAUAAGUUGUGGUCAUGUUAAGCUUAGUACCCAGUGAUCUGAAUAGAUGCUGCCAAAAUAGACCGGUAAACACGGUGUCUCUAUCAAUCACAAUUGAUUUAGAGAGCCUAUGAAAUCUUUAGAUGUCCUGCAAGAAUAGUUCAGCUACCUCCUUAGCUAUAUAAGGAUGCUUCAAGGCUAGGAAGUGACCAUAUUUAGUUAACCUGUCAAUGAUCACUAGUAUCACAUCUUUGUGAUCAGAAGAGGGUAACCUCUUUAUGAAAUCCAUGGAGAUAUCAUGCCAAGGCAUUUUUGGAAUAGGAAGAGGUUGUAAUAGUCCUGUUGAAGGGACAUUUUCACUUUUUACCCUCUGACAUGUAUCACAUUCAGCCAUCCAUUUAGAAAUCUCAGUCUUCUUAGGCCAAUAAAAACUUAUUCUGAUUCUCUUAUAAGUCCCUAGUUGACCAGAGUGGCCCCCAAUGGAGACUGAUGACUUCAAAUAUUUUCAAUCUCAUACCAGCUCCUCUCUUAAUCCAAAUCUUUUGGUCAUACCUGAUAAUGCCCUGCUGAAGGGUCUCACCUAAAGGAUCUGUGAUUAACUCCAGUAAUAGUUGUUGGGCUACAGGGUCAUGGUUAUAGCUUUGAACUACAUCUUGUAUCCAAGUGGGUUCUACAGUAGUAAGGGCACACAACAUAGGUUCCUCCUUUUCUCUUCUUGACAGAGCAUCAGCAACUCUGUUCUCAUCACCUUUCUUGUACUGGACUUCAUAGUCCAAACCCAAUAGUUUAGUGAGGCCUUUUUGCUGAAGAGCAAUAGUAAUCUUUUUCUCUAAUAAGUACUUGAGGCUUUGGUGGUCUGUCCUAAUAAUGAAGUGUCCCCCCAUCAAAUAAUGCCUCCACCUAUCAACCGCAGUCAACAUAGCCAAAUACUCCUUCUCAUAGGUUGAUAAUCCCCUGUUAUUCUGAGAUAAAGCCUUGCUGAAAUAUGGCAAUGGCAUGCCCUCCUGCAACAGCACUGCUCCCAUUCCAGUGGAACAAGCAUCAAUUUCCACAACAAAGGGUUUGGUGAAAUCAGCUAAAGCUAAUACUGGAGCUGAUGACAUAACUGAGUUGAGCUGUUGGAAGGCUAUCUCUGCUUCUUCUAACCACUGAAAAGAGUUCUUCUUGAGAAGGUUUGUUAGACGUCUACAGAUAACUCCAUAAGACCUCACAAAUCUCCUAUUGUAGCCUGCGAGACCCAAAAAUCCCCUUAGAUGCUUGAUAGUUUUUGGUCUAGGCCAAUUAACCAUGUCUUCAGUUUUGGAAGGGUCAGUAGCUACACCCUCUCCUGAAAUGAUAAGCCCCAAUUAUUCCACCUUUUUCUGUCCAAAUGAGCAUUUGGACAGCUUAGCAUACAACUUUUCUUUUCUCAGAAUCUCCAGAACCUUCUUGAGAUGAACUGUGUGUACAUAGUUGUUUGGGCUGUAUACUAAAAUAUCAUCACAGAAAACUAGUACAAACUUUUCGAGGAAUAGUUGAAAAAUGUGAUUCAUGAGACUCCGAAAGGUAGCAGGGGCAUUGGUUAGACCAAAAGGCAUGACUCUAAACUCAUAGUGCCCCAAAUGUGUUCUAAAAGCAGUUUUAUAUAUAUCCUCCUCACCCAUUGUAAUCUAAUGAUACCAAGUCCUAAGAUCAAUUUUAGAGUAGACACAAGAACCAGUUAAUUCAUCCAUUAAGUCAUCCACUAAUGGUAUAUGAAACUUAUCCUUAACUGUCAAAUUGUUAAGUUCCCUGUAGUCUAUACAAAACCUCCAACUACCAUAUUUCUUUUUGACCAAUAACACUUGGGAAGAGAAAGAGGAAUGACUGGGCUGUAUUAUACCACUAGUUAACAUUUCAUUAAUUUGUUUCUCAAUCUCAUUUUUCUGGAAAUAGCUAGACAUGUAAGGCCUCAAGCUGACUGGAUUUGCAUUGCUUUUCAGGGGAAUAUGAUGAUCAUGUCCUCUUUUUGGUGGAAGAGAUUUGGGUUUAGCAAAUACAUCAUUGAAGUCUGUCAGUACUUCAGAAAUUUCUGCAGGCAACUCCUCUGAUCUUGGUAUCUCCUGGGCUGAAAUGGUGAAUAAGUGUGCCCAUAGCUUUCCUUUCUUCAGUAGCUAUUUCACACCUAUUGUUGUCAUGCUUUUCAAUUCUCCAUGACUGUAGAUACACUUAAGUUCCACCCUCUUACCCUUGUGUGUCACCUGGACCUUGUACUCAAUGAAGUCUAAGAGUACAGGGUUGUGGCCUUUCAUCCAAUCUCCCCCUAGUAUCAUAUCAUUUCCCCCUAGUCUGACCAGUCUCACAACAUCCUCAAAUUCUACCCCUUGUAUUCUCCACUUGAAUCUAGGACAAGAAUGUAAGCUGGUAAUGUGAUUCCCAUUUGCCACAGUCACUCUCAUAGGCACUGCCUCAAGAAUCUGACAACCUAUCUUCCUAGCAGUCUCUAGAUCUAGGAAGCUAUGAGUACUCCC